GGACAGUGAAAAUGGGGUCAAAACUCUUAUUUGGUGUUAAAAUCAAAAAGAUCCUAUCAUAGGGAACAUCUUUAAUACUAAAAUAAGGAGGUCCAAUUUGUCAGCCGUCAUGGGGUAAAAACGACAAAUCAAAGAAUUCAACUUUAUAUAUAGCUAAUAUAGGACAAUGGUGUAGAAUAAAAAUUACACCACUCCAGACGCUUUUGUUUUCCACAUAAUUAAUAUUGCCAAUAAUUAACAAGUUUUGGGUCGAAUCCGAUACCGAUACCAAUAGUAUAUUCACCUGUUACCUAUUACCUUAUCUGUAUGUUUCGCAUCUGACAGGCACACCACCAAACGGUGUAUUUAGGAUUUUGCUAUAUACACAGGUCAUAAUCACAGGGUUGACACUACUAAAUUCAAUCAUUGUCAAAUUGUUCCCUAUUGUAGUAUUUUAAUCAG
Molecule: long non-coding RNA, 441 nt
Filed under: Mytilus galloprovincialis (Mediterranean mussel)
Lineage: Eukaryota; Metazoa; Mollusca; Bivalvia; Mytilida; Mytilidae
Source: RNAcentral